UAGAGGUGGGGAUAACGUAGACGAAAGUUACGCUAAUACCGCAUACGCACUAAGGUGGAAAUGGGGGGAUCUUCGGACCUCAUGCUCAUGGAGUGGCCGAUAUCUGAUUAGCUAGUUGGUGAGGUAAAGGCUCACCAAGGCGACGAUCAGUAGCUGGUUUGAGAGAACGACCAGCCACACUGGAACUGAGACACGGGUCCAGACUCCUACGGGAGGCAGCAGUGGGGAAUUUUGGACAAUGGGGGCAACCCUGAUCCAGCAAUGCCGCGUGAGUGAAGAAGGCCUUCGGGUUGUAAAGCUCUUUUGUCAGGGAAGAAACGGUGAGUUCUAAUAAAGCUUGCUAAUGACGGUACCUGAAGAAUAAGCACCGGCUAACUACGUG
RNAcentral lists this ribosomal RNA (382 nucleotides) under uncultured bacterium. RNAcentral describes it as "bacterial SSU rRNA". It matches the Rfam family "Bacterial small subunit ribosomal RNA", at positions 132 to 507 of the family's 1533-position model. The record is from RNAcentral.